This 342-nucleotide long non-coding RNA is filed under the name Dromaius novaehollandiae (emu). RNAcentral describes it as "lncRNA (ENSDNVG00000010137.1)". The record is from RNAcentral. Lineage: Eukaryota; Metazoa; Chordata; Aves; Casuariiformes; Dromaiidae.
UUCUCCUUUGAAGAUACAGCUAUUCAUUCCAAAAAAUCCAGUAGGCUACUGUGAAAGUUUUAUUUGGUUUAUUUCAAUAGAUCCAGUACCCCUUACAAUGGUGUAUGGUGAUUAUCAAUCGAUUAAGGUACCAGUGGAUUCCUAGGUCAGCUAGUGCUUUGAUGGCUGUGACUUUGCAAACAUGUGCAUGGCAUCUCCUAUGAGGAUUAACAGCUGAAAUGGUUGUAGCAGGGGAAUAUAAAUUAGCAACAAUGAUGGUGCACUGAAGACUGUUUUUUGCAAAGGAAGGAUCUGCAAGGAUGUUAGGAUCUAUACCUCAAAAUAAAGGUAAGAUAAAAUACA